This 383-nucleotide ribosomal RNA is filed under the name Bacteroides fragilis. RNAcentral describes it as "bacterial SSU rRNA". It matches the Rfam family "Bacterial small subunit ribosomal RNA", at positions 1 to 376 of the family's 1533-position model. Lineage: Bacteria; Pseudomonadati; Bacteroidota; Bacteroidia; Bacteroidales; Bacteroidaceae. The record is from RNAcentral.
ACAAUGAAGAGUUUGAUCCUGGCUCAGGAUGAACGCUAGCUACAGGCUUAACACAUGCAAGUCGAGGGGCAUCAGGAAGAAAGCUUGCUUUCUUUGCUGGCGACCGGCGCACGGGUGAGUAACACGUAUCCAACCUGCCCUUUACUCGGGGAUAGCCUUUCGAAAGAAAGAUUAAUACCCGAUGGGAUAAUCAUUCCGCAUGGUUUGAUUAUUAAAGGAUUCCGGUAAAGGAUGGGGAUGCGUUCCAUUAGGUUGUUGGUGAGGUAACGGCCCACCAAGCCUUCGAUGGAUAGGGGUUCUGAGAGGAAGGUCCCCCACAUUGGAACUGAGACACGGUCCAAACUCCUACGGGAGGCAGCAGUGAGGAAUAUUGGUCAAUGGGC